Molecule: ribosomal RNA, 207 nt
Filed under: uncultured bacterium
Lineage: Bacteria
Description: partial 16S ribosomal RNA
Rfam family: Bacterial small subunit ribosomal RNA
Source: RNAcentral
UCUGUAGGCGGACGAGUAAGUUGGGCGUGAAAGCUCCGGGCUCAACCCAGAGAGGUCGUUCAAUACUGCUCGACUAGAGGGUGUCAGAGGGGAGUGGAAUUCCCGGUGUAGCGGUAAAAUGCGCAGAUAUCGGGAGGAACACCAGUGGCGAAAGCGGCUCCCUGGGGCAAACCUGACGCUGAGAGACGAAAGCUAGGGGAGCGAACA